Molecule: ribosomal RNA, 822 nt
Filed under: uncultured Pseudomonadota bacterium
Lineage: Bacteria; Pseudomonadati; Pseudomonadota
Description: bacterial SSU rRNA
Rfam family: Bacterial small subunit ribosomal RNA
Source: RNAcentral
AAAGGGGGGGCAACUCCCUGAGUAAAGCGGCGCACGGGUGAGUAACACGUGGGUAAUCUGCCCUGGAGUGGGGAAUAACACCGGGAAACCGGUGCUAAUACCGCAUACGAUAGCGAGGUCUGCGGACUUUGCUAUGAAAGGAGCAAUUCGCUCUAGGAGGAGCCCGCGGCUGAUUAGCUAGUUGGUGAGGUAACGGCUCACCAAGGCUACGAUCAGUAUCCGGUCUGAGAGGACGGUCGGACACACUGGAACUGAGACACGGUCCAGACUCCUACGGGAGGCAGCAGUGGGGAAUUUUUGGCAAUGGGGGCAACCCUGACCAAGCAACGCCGCGUGGGUGAUGAAGUCUCUUGGGACGUAAAACCCUUUCGACGGGGAAGAAAACCGCAAGGUUUGACGGUACCCGUAGAAGAAGCCCCGGCUAACUCCGUGCCAGCAGCCGCGGUAAUACGGGGGGGGCAAGCGUUGUUCGGAAUUACUGGGCGUAAAGGGCGCGUAGGCGGUCCGCUAAGUUGGAUGUGAAAACUCUGGGCUUAACCCAGAGCCUGCAUUCAAAACUGACGGGCUAGAGUUCUGGAGGGGGUAGCGGAAUUCCUGGUGUAGCUGUGAAAUGCGUAGAUAUCAGGAGGAACACCGGUGGCGAAGGCGGCUACCUGGACAGAAACUGACGCUGAGGCGCGAAAGCUAGGGGAGCAAACAGGAUUAGAUACCCUGGUAGUCCUAGCCCUAAACGAUGGAUACUUGGUGUGACUGGGAUUGAAUCCAGUCGUGCCGAAGCUAACGCAUUAAGUAUCCCGCCUGGGGAGUACGGUCGCAAGGCUG